GUACUUGCUUUGGGAGCACAUAUACUAAAAUUGGAAUGAUACACAGAAGAUUAGCAUGGCUCAAAGAUGACACACAAAUACAUAACUCCCAUCAGGUAUCA
RNAcentral lists this small nuclear RNA (101 nucleotides) under Vulpes vulpes (red fox). The record is from RNAcentral. Lineage: Eukaryota; Metazoa; Chordata; Mammalia; Carnivora; Canidae.